GCGGGUGUAGUUCAAUGGUAGAACACCAGCCUUCCAAGCUGGUUGUGUGAGUUCGAUUCUCAUCACCCGCUCCA
RNAcentral lists this transfer RNA (74 nucleotides) under Candidatus Pelagibacter sp. TMED166. RNAcentral describes it as "tRNA-Gly". It matches the Rfam family "tRNA". Rfam says of the family: Transfer RNA (tRNA) molecules are approximately 80 nucleotides in length. Their secondary structure includes four short double-helical elements and three loops (D, anti-codon, and T loops). RNAcentral also lists the same sequence under 1 other name. The record is from RNAcentral. Lineage: Bacteria; Pseudomonadati; Pseudomonadota; Alphaproteobacteria; Candidatus Pelagibacterales; Candidatus Pelagibacteraceae.